RNAcentral lists this unclassified non-coding RNA (253 nucleotides) under uncultured Halomonadaceae bacterium. RNAcentral's name for it is "contains 16S-23S intergenic spacer region". It matches the Rfam family "Bacterial small subunit ribosomal RNA", at positions 524 to 776 of the family's 1533-position model. Lineage: Bacteria; Pseudomonadati; Pseudomonadota; Gammaproteobacteria; Oceanospirillales; Halomonadaceae. The record is from RNAcentral.
UACGGAGGUUGCGAGCGUUAAUCGGAAUUACUGGGCGUAAAGCGCGCGUAGGCGGCGUGAUAAGCCGGGUGUGAAAGCCCCGGGCUCAACCUGGGAACGGCCUCCGGAACUGGCAGGCCAGAGUGCAGGAGAGGAAGGUAGAAUUCCCGGUGUAGCGGUGAAAUGCGUAGAGAUCGGGAGGAAUACCAGUGGCGAAGGCGGCCUUCUGGACUGCCGCUGACGCUGAGGUGCGAAAGCGUGGGUAGCAAACAGG